RNAcentral lists this transfer RNA (73 nucleotides) under Candidatus Woesearchaeota archaeon CG10_big_fil_rev_8_21_14_0_10_37_12. RNAcentral's name for it is "tRNA-Gln". It matches the Rfam family "tRNA". Rfam says of the family: Transfer RNA (tRNA) molecules are approximately 80 nucleotides in length. The record is from RNAcentral. Lineage: Archaea; Nanobdellati; Candidatus Woesearchaeota.
AGCCCUGUAGUAUAGUGGUCAAGUAUAUCGGGUUCUGGUCCCGAGGACACCGGUUCAAAUCCGGUCAGGGCUA